Molecule: small nuclear RNA, 104 nt
Organism: Callithrix jacchus (white-tufted-ear marmoset)
Lineage: Eukaryota; Metazoa; Chordata; Mammalia; Primates; Cebidae
Source: Ensembl
CUGCUAGCUUCAGCAGCACAUACACUAAAAUUGGAAUGACACAGAGAUUAGCAUGGCCCCUUCAGAAGGAUAACAUGCAAAUUCAUGAAGCACUCACAACCACA